GAGUAAUCUGCCCUCUACUUGGGGAUAACCUCCGGAAACGGUGGCUAAUACCCGAUAUGACCAACUUCUGCAUGGUUGUUGGUGGAAAGUUUUUUCGGUAGGGGAUGUGCUCGCGGCCUAUCAGCUUGUUGGUGGGGUAAUGGCCUACCAAGGCUUCGACGGGUAGCCGGCCUGAGAGGGUGACCGGCCACACUGGGACUGAGACACGGCCCAGACUCCUACGGGAGGCAGCAGUGGGGAAUAUUGGACAAUGGGCGGAAGCCUGAUCCAGCAACGCCGCGUGAGGGAUGACGGCCUUCGGGUUGUAAACCUCUUUCAGUAGGGACGAAGCGCAAGUGACGGUACCUACAGAAGAAGCACCGGCCAACUACGUGCCAGCAGCCGCGGUAAUACGUAGGGUGCGAGCGUUGUCCGGAAUUAUUGGGCGUAAAGGGCUCGUAGGCGGUUUGUCGCGUCGGGAGUGAAAACCAUGGGCUUAACUCAUGGCUUGCUUCCGAUACGGGCAGACUAGAGGUAUGCAGGGGAGAACGGAAUUCCUGGU
Molecule: ribosomal RNA, 541 nt
Filed under: uncultured bacterium
Lineage: Bacteria
Description: bacterial SSU rRNA
Rfam family: Bacterial small subunit ribosomal RNA
Source: RNAcentral